This 400-nucleotide ribosomal RNA is filed under the name uncultured bacterium. RNAcentral's name for it is "bacterial SSU rRNA". It matches the Rfam family "Bacterial small subunit ribosomal RNA", at positions 355 to 746 of the family's 1533-position model. The record is from RNAcentral.
UGGGGAAUAUUGCGCAAUGGGCGAAAGCCUGACGCAGCGACGCCGCGUGAGUGAAGAAGGCCUUCGGGUUGUAAAGCUCUGUCGGAGGGGAAGAAUGGCGGAUGUUCUAACAGGGCAUCCGAUUGACGGUACCCUCAAAGGAAGCACCGGCUAACUUCGUGCCAGCAGCCGCGGUAAUACGAAGGGUGCGAGCGUUGCUCGGAAUUAUUGGGCGUAAAGCGUGGGUAGGUGGUCUCGUUAGUCUAGGGUGAAAGACCUGAGCUCAACUCAGGAAGGGCCCUGGAAACGGCGAGACUAGAGUCCUAGAGAGGUUAGCGGAAUUCCCGGUGUAGCGGUGAAAUGCGUAGAGAUCGGGAGGAACACCAGAGGUGUAGACGGCUAACUGGAUAGGUACUGACAC